GCUGGGCAGCUGGCCGGCGCGCUGACUGCGGAGCGGAGAGGCUGGAGGAUGGACUUCCCCGGGGCUGCUCGCCUUCUCUCUCUGCUGCUGGUGCCGCUGCUGCUGGGCCCUGCGCGCGGCCUGCGCAAUGCUUCCCAGAGGACGUUCAAGAUCGACUACGGCCACAACCGCUUCCUCAAGGAUGGCCAGCCGUUCCGCUACAUCUCGGGGAGCAUUCACUACUUUCGGGUGCCCCGCUUCUACUGGAAGGACCGGCUCCUGAAAAUGAAGAUGGCCGGGCUGAACGCCAUCCAGACGUACGUGCCCUGGAACUUUCACGAGCCCCAGCCAGGACAGUACCAGUUUUCUGGGGAACAUGAUGUGGAAUAUUUUCUCAAGCUGGCCCAUGAGCUGGGACUGCUGGUUAUCCUGAGGCCCGGACCCUACAUCUGUGCAGAGUGGGACAUGGGAGGAUUGCCGGCUUGGCUGUUAUUAAAAGAGUCGAUUAUUCUCCGUUCUUCUGAUCCAGAUUACCUUGCAGCCGUGGACAAGUGGUUGGGAGUCCUUCUGCCCAAGAUGAAGCCUCUCCUCUAUCAGAAUGGAGGGCCCAUUAUAACCGUGCAGGUUGAAAACGAAUACGGCAGCUACUUCACCUGUGACUACGACUACCUGCGCUUCCUGCAGCGGCGCUUCCGCGACCACCUGGGCGGGGACGUGCUUCUGUUCACCACCGACGGGGCGCACGAGAAGUUCCUGCAGUGCGGGGCGCUGCAGGGCAUCUACGCCACCGUGGACUUCGGCCCAGAUGCCAACAUCACCGCUGCUUUCCAGAUCCAGAGAAAGAGCGAGCCCAGAGGACCGUUGGUGAACUCUGAAUUCUAUACUGGCUGGUUAGACCACUGGGGCCAACCUCACUCAAGAGUGAGGACUGAAGUGGUAGCUUCCUCCCUCCAUGACGUACUUGCCCAUGGGGCGAAUGUGAACUUGUACAUGUUUAUAGGUGGGACCAAUUUCGCUUAUUGGAAUGGGGCCAACAUCCCCUACCAACCACAGCCCACCAGCUACGACUAUGACGCCCCACUGAGCGAGGCAGGGGACCUCACUGACAAGUAUUUUGCUCUGCGGGACGUUAUCCGGAAGUUUGAAAAAGUACCAGAAGGUUUUAUCCCUCCAUCUACGCCCAAGUUUGCAUAUGGAAAAGUUGCUCUGCAAAAGUUAAAGACGGUGGAGGACGCUCUGAACGUUCUGUGUCCUGCUGGGCCCAUAAAAAGCCUUUAUCCGUUGACGUUUAUCCAGGUGAAACAGUAUUUUGGUUUCGUGCUAUACCGAACAACGCUCCCUCAAGACUGCAGCAACCCCACACCCCUGUCAUCACCCCUCAAUGGAGUCCGUGACCGCGCCUAUGUCGCCGUGGACGGGGUGCCCCAGGGAGUCCUGGAGCGAAGUUACGUGAUCACUCUGAACAUAACAGGGCAAGCCGGAGCCACUCUGGACCUUCUGGUGGAGAACAUGGGGCGUGUGAACUAUGGCAGAUACAUCAAUGAUUUCAAGGGUCUUAUUUCUAACCUGACCCUCGGUUCCAGUGUCCUCACGGACUGGAUGAUCUUCCCGCUGGACACCGAGGAUGCAGUGCGCAGCCAUCUGGGAGGCUGGCAUGGCCGUAACCAUGGCCGUCAGGAUAAUAAAGCCUUUGCCCACCACUCGUCCAACUACACACUCCCGGCCUUUUACGCGGGGAACUUCUCUAUUCCCAGCGGGAUCCCAGACUUGCCCCAGGACACCUUUAUCCAGUUUUCUGGAUGGACCAAGGUACUACCUGUCGAGGCUCCAGAAGGCUCAGGCAGUGGAGUGGGAUCUCCUCGCGGGAGCGUGUGCUUCCGUUCUGUUCGCCCCGUCUUCUGAACCACGCUCAGCACCUCAGGUACAACAUGAAUGGAAGUGGCAACAGCAGACAUACUUGUCUAGUUCCUGAUCUUCUGAAGGGGAAGGCAUUCAGUCCUUCACCAUGAAGUACGAUGGUAUGGACAUUCUAGAAUAGAGCUUUUUACAGACUGAGAUCUACUGAGAUCUUCAUUUCACUUGAGGAAAUGCCUAGGUGUAGACUCCCUGGAUUGCACGGUAGGUAUACAUUCAACUUUCAAAUAAGUGUCAGUUUGUUUUCCCAAAGUAGCUCUUGUAUGGAACCAUCUUUUUUUUUUUAAUUUUUUUAAUGUUUGUUUAUUUUUGAGAGAAAGAGAGAACACAAGCUGGGGAGGAGCAGAGAGAGAAGGAGACACAGAAUCUGAAGCAGGCUCCAGACUCCGCGCUGUCGGCACAGAGCCCGACACGGGGCUCAAACCCACGAACCGUGAGAUCAUGACCUGAGCCGAAGUCAGACACUCAACCGACUGAGCCACUCGGGCGCCUCCAAAACCAUCUUUUGAGUCUCUCUUGUUGCAUGUUAUCUGUCGUCUCGGUAAGUUUUGGAAAACGGGAGGACCCCCAAACUGUGAAUUUUUGCUGCACCUUAAUUAGAAGGCUUCCAGUGAACCGCUCAGCAGUUCUGUGACCCCAAGAACGCACAGUUCAAACGCAUUCCCUCGUAAGUUCCCUCCUUGUCCACUGCGUGAGCCCCGUCUGACUCCUCCUCAGUUAUCCCGAGAAGAGCCCAGCUGGACCACAAAGCGCAUCACCUGAACCACUGUUCGCUUUAUUUGCAUGUGAUGUUUUCAUGGUGAUGUCAUCAAAAUUAGGAAGAAUCGCUCCCUCCAACCAAGGCAACCACGGAGAGGAGGCUGCACAGUGCACUUUCAGUGGAGAUCGUUCUCCUGCCUCGCUGGGCUCCAAUUAGAGUCUCGUUUAUCUCCUGUGUGAUAAAAAAAAAAACGUUCUGCAGGCUUCUAAUGCCAACCUGCACACACCGCACACUGUGAACCCUAAUGCCCAUUCCCAGCACUGACGUCAGCAUCUUCGGCAAAGCACCGAGACCUCUGUAGGCGGGUGUCAUGUCAGGCUGAGCGUCCCCCUGCUCACCUCACCCGUGAGCCCUUUUUUUUAGAAUCUCUCUCUGCGGUUCCUUAGCUUCCCAUAACCACAAAGAUCUCCUUUUAUUUUCUAAAAUGGAAAUAUUUCUAUUGUUCUGGCAGAUUAUGAAAGUGAUGCAUGUUUGUUUAAAGAAAUAAAGAAGCCUAGAAAGUAUAAAGUGUAAUUCUUCCUUCUAUGAAAUGACUAACAUCAAUAAUAGCUCGAUAAGUCUGGGGAGAACUUUUUUUAAUGGCUAACGAUUUGGGGGCUAAGUUCGAGGUUUAUCCUUCCAGGUUUUAAACAUGCUGUUAAUAUUUCGUGUAGAGAGUCGGGGACUGCCAUUGCCUUGGCCCGCCAUCCCCCUCCGUGGCUGAGGAGCUCUCGGCGGCCACGUCCUACACUGAGGAUGAUUUCCACUGCCCUGUUGGUCAGCAGGUGCACAAAACACCCGCAAGGACCCGGCCGGUCAGCAAGUUUUCUGUAGAAAAUGUUUCCUGACUGCAGUGAGAGAAAGCGGAACACACUGUCCCCUCUGUCGUGGAAGUGUGACUGGGAGAGAGAGAGAGACUGCUUGUCCUGAAUGGGCCAUAGACCUUCAAAUUGUCAUGAGGAAGUUUUCCGGUAGCUGCAGAUACUGUGCAAACCAGAUUAAAUUCUGAGACAUGAGACAUCGUUGCAUAUCUGCAUGGAGCUAGUGCAUCCAGUGCGAUGUUUCGUAGAAGGGACAGCCGGCUUCCUUCUCUUCUUUGGUUUCCAGCUGGAAUACCUCUGGACUGCCCCAGUACGCAUUUUGAGCGGAGUGCUGCAGGGUCCUGAUGAUCAUGGAGUAGCAGAACAGCAUGGUGCCCAAGGGGAUCACCAACCCCAGAAUGUUGAUCUCCAGGGAGCUCAGCACCUUCCACCUCGUGGAGUUGAGAGAGUACUUGGUUUUGCAGUAGGUGUGGUUGCGCUCCGUGUAACAGGUGCUGAAUAAGAAGCCUGGAAGAGAGGCCAGCACGGCCACGGACCACGUGGCCAAGCUGGUGAUGACCCCGUAAGUCAAGGUCCUCGCUCUCAAGGAAAACACCGCGUGCACUAUCGCCAGGUAUCUGUCGAUGCUCAUGAGCAUGACGAAGAAGAUGCCACUGUAAAAGCCCACCAAGUACAUCCAGGAAAUAAUCUUGCAGAGACCCAGUCCAAAAACCCACUGGUCUGCGGCAUAGUAGCCCCAGAAAGGGAGGGAGAACACGAAGAGCAGGUCUGAGAUGGCGAGGUUGAGCAGGUACACGUCAGUCAUGGACUUGAGCCUCUUGUACUUGAACAAGACCAAAACUACCACAGAAUUGCCCAGGAGACCGAACAGAAAGACCAAGGAGUAGAGAGGGGGCAGGAAGAGCCCCCCGAACGCCUUGACGCCUUCUUUGGUGCAAGGCUUGGGGAUGUUUUCAUAGAGAUAGUAAUUGUGAUAGAUGCUUUCAUCCAUGGUGGUGUCUGCUGUGUCCGUGGGGUUCAUUUUCAAAUCUCCAGGCUCCUCGACGCAGGUCUGAGCCCAACCAGAAGCUAAUGAGGGAAGAGCAGACGCGAUCUCUGUAGGAACAAAAGCAAAUCGAAAAGGUGCUGACUACGGAGCAUAGUGCUGAGUAUUGUGCCCCGGCUCAUGACACCCCCUUCCCAGCCUUCCCAAGUUGAAGGGCUCUGUUCCUCGCAGGGCAGUGCAGCCAAAUAAAACAAUCCUGCUGUUUGGAGUUA
RNA transcript from Felis catus (domestic cat), 4710 nucleotides. It is a transcript of the gene named galactosidase beta 1, with no coding region annotated. Lineage: Eukaryota; Metazoa; Chordata; Mammalia; Carnivora; Felidae. The record is from RefSeq and is marked provisional. The transcript is spliced from 19 exons.